RNAcentral lists this ribosomal RNA (458 nucleotides) under uncultured bacterium. RNAcentral describes it as "partial 16S ribosomal RNA". It matches the Rfam family "Bacterial small subunit ribosomal RNA", at positions 338 to 795 of the family's 1533-position model. The record is from RNAcentral.
CCUACGGGGGGCUGCAGUGAGGAAUAUUGGUCAAUGGGCGAGAGCCUGAACCAGCCAAGUCGCGUGAGGGAGUACUGCCCUAUGGGUUGUAAACCUCUUUUGUCGGGGAGCAAAAGCCGGACGUGUCCGGCUGUGAGAGUACCCGAAGAAAAAGCAUCGGCUAACUCCGUGCCAGCAGCCGCGGUAAUACGGAGGAUGCGAGCGUUAUCCGGAUUUAUUGGGUUUAAAGGGGGCGCAGGCGGAUUUUUAAGUCAGCGGUAAAAUCGUGGGGCUCAACCCCAUCCAGCCGUUGAAACUGGGGAUCUAGAGUGUGCGAGAGGUAUGCGGAAUGCGUGGUGUAGCGGUGAAAUGCAUAGAUAUCACGCAGAACCCCGAUUGCGAAGGCAGCAUACCGGUGCACAACUGACGCUCAGGCACGAAAGCGUGGGUAUCGAACAGGAUUAGAUACCCUUGUAGUC